This 176-nucleotide ribosomal RNA is filed under the name uncultured bacterium. RNAcentral describes it as "partial 16S ribosomal RNA". It matches the Rfam family "Bacterial small subunit ribosomal RNA", at positions 110 to 299 of the family's 1533-position model. The record is from RNAcentral.
GUAACACGUGGGAUUUACCAAGAAGUGGGAAUAGCUCGACGAAAGUCGAAUUAAUACCCGAUAUGAUCGCAAGAUCAAGCCGGGGACCGAGGCCUGCGCUUUUUGAGAAGCCCGCGGCCAUCAGCUAGUUGGGGGUAACGGCCCACCAAGGUAUGACGGGUAGCUGGGUCUGAAGG